This 1423-nucleotide ribosomal RNA is filed under the name uncultured organism. RNAcentral describes it as "16S ribosomal RNA". It matches the Rfam family "Bacterial small subunit ribosomal RNA". The record is from RNAcentral.
AUGAACGCUAGCUACAGGCUUAACACAUGCAAGUCGAGGGGCAGCAUGGUCUUAGCUUGCUAAGGCCGAUGGCGACCGGCGCACGGGUGAGUAACACGUAUCCAACCUGCCGUCUACUCUUGGACAGCCUUCUGAAAGGAAGAUUAAUACAAGAUGGCAUCAUGAGUCCGCAUGUUCACAUGAUUAAAGGUAUUCCGGUAGACGAUGGGGGUGCGUUCCAUUAGAUAGUAGGCGGGGUAACGGCCCACCUAGUCUUCGAUGGAUAGGGGUUCUGAGAGGAAGGUCCCCCACAUUGGAACUGAGACACGGUCCAAACUCCUACGGGAGGCAGCAGUGAGGAAUAUUGGUCAAUGGGCGAGAGCCUGAACCAGCCAAGUAGCGUGAAGGAUGACUGCCCUAUGGGUUGUAAACUUCUUUUAUAAAGGAAUAAAGUCGGGUAUGGAUACCCGUUUGCAUGUACUUUAUGAAUAAGGAUCGGCUAACUCCGUGCCAGCAGCCGCGGUAAUACGGAGGAUCCGAGCGUUAUCCGGAUUUAUUGGGUUUAAAGGGAGCGUAGAUGGAUGUUUAAGUCAGUUGUGAAAGUUUGCGGCUCAACCGUAAAAUUGCAGUUGAUACUGGAUAUCUUGAGUGCAGUUGAGGCAGGCGGAAUUCGUGGUGUAGCGGUGAAAUGCUUAGAUAUCACGAAGAACUCCGAUUGCGAAGGCAGCCUGCUAAGCUGCAACUGACAUUGAGGCUCGAAAGUGUGGGUAUCAAACAGGAUUAGAUACCCUGGUAGUCCACACGUUAAACAGAGAAUUACUCGCUGUUUGCGAUAUACGCAAAACGGCCAAGGGAAAAGCGUUAAGUUUUCCACCGGGGGAGUAAGCCCGGCAACGGUGAAACUCAAAGAAAUUGACGGGGGCCCGCACAAGGGGAGGAACAGGUGGUUUAAUUCGAUGAUACGCGAGGGAACCUUACCCGGGCUUAAAUUGCAGAUGAAUUACGGUGAAAGCCGUAAGCCGCAAGGCAUCUGUGAAGGUGCUGCAUGGUUGUCGUCAGCUCGUGCCGUGAGGUGUCGGCUUAAGUGCCAUAACGAGCGCAACCCUUGUUGUCAGUUACUAACAGGUUCCGCUGAGGACUCUGACAAGACUGCCAUCGUAAGAUGUGAGGAAGGUGGGGAUGACGUCAAAUCAGCACGGCCCUUACGUCCGGGGCUACACACGUGUUACAAUGGGGGGUACAGAGGGCCGCUACCACGCGAGUGGAUGCCAAUCCCCAAAACCUCUCUCAGUUCGGACUGGAGUCUGCAACCCGACUCCACGAAGCUGGAUUCGCUAGUAAUCGCGCAUCAGCCACGGCGCGGUGAAUACGUUCCCGGGCCUUGUACACACCGCCCGUCAAGCCAUGGGAGCCGGGGGUACAAGAAGUGCGUAACCGCGAGGAG